Pseudophryne corroboree (corroboree frog) is the source of this 814-nucleotide long non-coding RNA. RefSeq lists it as uncharacterized. Lineage: Eukaryota; Metazoa; Chordata; Amphibia; Anura; Myobatrachidae. The transcript has 2 exons. The record is from RefSeq and is a predicted model, not a curated record.
UCUAGCUCUCAGUGCGCUAGCAGUGGCGGUGAUGGCCACGGGAGAGGAAGGGGCCCACACACAGUCACCAAUGGACGCCGAAAACGUAUUCCAGCUCCUGUGUUCAGCUCCACUAGAGACCCGCACCAGCUACCAUCUGGCGGUGCAGCCUGACUCUGCGGUGUCCCAGCAUUGCAUUCUACUAUUGGCAGUGGUUCGAUAUCGGGUUUCAGCUUUCAGCUUCCAGCGGUGCCUAGCUCUGACAGUCACAUCAUCGAUCUCCAGUCACCAUCGGUGUUCCAUCAUUGAUCUCCAGCCAUCAUCGGUGUUCCAUCAUCAAUCUCCAGUCACCAUCGGUGUUCCCCAGCAUCACCAGUGUUUCUUCAUCUGACCUUCUGCUACACUGGUGUUCUAACAUCAUUCCACAGUUCACCAUUGGUGUUCCUACUUGGAAACGCUCACUCCAUCAGUGAGCUCUGUAGCACCCUACACCACCUGGGCCGGUUCCACCCGGCAUCCCCGGCACUUCACGAGUGCUCACCCUAUUCAGCAUUCCACCAGUAUCUCCAGCUUCCAGUGUGUCAUCUGCUGGUCAGUUCCUACACAUACCAUCCAUACAGCGGAUAGCUGUUGGUCAUCUGGACUUUCCAUCUCCAGGUCUUCCAAGACUGUAGUGUGUUAUACCACUUCCAACAGCAUCCUACUAUUCCUGUAUUUAAGGAACUGUGAUUCUACUGUUAUGCUACAACUUCAUAUUGCUGAGCACUCCUGUCUUCCCUGAACUGUCAAUGUGCAAGCUGAACUGAGUUUAAUAAACAUCUCAAACUUUCACAAA